GUGCCAGCAGCCGCGGUAAUACGUAGGGGGCAAGCGUUGUCCGGAAUUAUUGGGCGUAAAGCGCGCGCAGGCGGUCAUGUAAGUCUUCUGUUUAAUGCCAGGGCUCAACCUUGGUACGCAGAGGAAACUGGGUGACUUGAGUGCAGGAGAGGAAAGUGGAAUUCCACGUGUAGCGGUGAAAUGCGUAGAGAUGUGGAGGAACACCAGUGGCGAAGGCGACUUUCUGGCCUGUAACUGACGCUGAGGCGCGAAAGCGUGGGGAGCAAACAGGAUUAGAUACCCUGGUAGUCC
This 291-nucleotide ribosomal RNA is filed under the name uncultured bacterium. RNAcentral describes it as "partial 16S ribosomal RNA". It matches the Rfam family "Bacterial small subunit ribosomal RNA", at positions 505 to 796 of the family's 1533-position model. The record is from RNAcentral.